UCAGCCUUAUAUAACCAUUCUCAUGUCAUUGUAUGAAUUCACAAAAUCAGUCCAGUCAUGUAUCAUGUUUCAGACUCAGUCAUGUAAUCAUGUUUCCAAUCAUGCAUGUUUAGUAUAUUAUCUUAGUUCUCCUAGUAUUCUCAGCUAAGUCUCAUUCAAGGACGAAUAUUCCUAAGGGGGAGAUAAUGUACACCCCACAUUUUCAGGCUAGAAUUCA
RNAcentral lists this long non-coding RNA (217 nucleotides) under Capsicum annuum. RNAcentral's name for it is "long non-coding RNA (CANN_LNC011424)". The record is from RNAcentral. Lineage: Eukaryota; Viridiplantae; Streptophyta; Magnoliopsida; Solanales; Solanaceae.